UUUUAUUUGAGAGUUUGAUCCUGGCUCAGGAUGAACGCUGGCGGCGUGCCUAACACAUGCAAGUUGAGCGAUUUACUUCGGUAAAGAGCGGCGGACGGGUGAGUAACGCGUGGGUAACCUACCCUGUACACACGGAUAACAUACCGAAAGGUAUGCUAAUACGGGAUAAUAUAUUUGAGAGGCAUCUCUUGAAUAUCAAAGGUGAGCCAGUACAGGAUGGACCCGCGUCUGAUUAGCUAGUUGGUAAGGUAACGGCUUACCAAGGCGACGAUCAGUAGCCGACCUGAGAGGGUGAUCGGCCACAUUGGAACUGAGACACGGUCCAAACUCCUACGGGAGGCAGCAGUGGGGAAUAUUGCACAAUGGGCGAAAGCCUGAUGCAGCAACGCCGCGUGAGUGAUGAAGGCCUUCGGGUCGUAAAACUCUGUCCUCAAGGAAGAUAAUG
This 445-nucleotide ribosomal RNA is filed under the name Clostridioides difficile. RNAcentral's name for it is "bacterial SSU rRNA". It matches the Rfam family "Bacterial small subunit ribosomal RNA", at positions 1 to 453 of the family's 1533-position model. Lineage: Bacteria; Bacillati; Bacillota; Clostridia; Peptostreptococcales; Peptostreptococcaceae. The record is from RNAcentral.